GUCACCUAUAAUAUUUUGAGCAUUCAGAAACACACCUAGCGAAGCGCACUAGCAACGACCUAACAACAAUGGCUACCAAGAUAUUAUCCCUCCUUGCGAUUCUUGCCCUUUUAGUGAGCGCAACAAAUGCGUUCAUUAUUCCACAAUGCUCACUUGCUCCUAGUGCCAUUAUUCCACAGUUCCUCCCACCAGUUACUUCAAUGGGCUUCGAACACCCAGUUGUGCAAGCCUACAGGCUACAACAAGCGCUUGCGGCGAGCGUCUUACAACAACCAAUUGCCCAAUUACAACAACAAUCCUUGGCACAUCUAACAAUACAAACCAUCGCAACGCAACAGCAACAACAGUUCCUACCAACACUGAGCCACCUAGCCAUGGUGAACCCUGCCGCCUACUUGCAACAACAACUGCUUGCAUCCAACCCAAUUGCUCUGGCAAAUGUAGUUGCAAACCAGCAACAACAACAACUGCAAUAGUUUCUGCCAGUGCUCAGUCAACUAGCCAUGGUGAACCCUGCCGCCUACCUACAACAGCAACAACUGCUUUCAUCUAGCCCGCUCGCUAUGGCCAAUGCACCUACAUACCUGCAACAACAAUUGUUGCAACAUAUUGUACCAGCUCUGACUCAGCUAGCUAUGGCAAACCCUGCUGUCUACUUGCAACAGCUGCUUCCAUUCAACCAACUGACUGUGUCGAACUCUGCUACGUACCUACAACAUCGACAACACUUACUUAAUCCAUUGGCAGUGGCUAACCCAUUGGUCGUUGCCUUCCAACAGCAGCAACAAUUGCUGCCAUACAACCAGUUCUCUUUGAUGAACCAUGUCUUGUCGAGGCAGCAACCCAUCGUUGGAGGUGCCAUCUUUUAGAUUACAUAUGAGAUGUACUCGAUAAUGGUGCCCUCAUACCGGCAUGUGUUUCCUAGAAGUAAUCAAUAUAUUGAUUGAGAUUUAUCUCGAUAUAUUUCUGAACUAUGUCCAUCAUAUAAAUAAUUGAAAACAUCAAAUCGUAAUUAUAAACUCAUGCUUGGUCAAUACAUAGACAAUGCGAUAUUACUUCAACAUCCCAAUGAUGUCCUAGCCCAACCUCUUGAAUGUUACUGUUUUAACGCGUGAGGGUAUAUUUAUAAGAUAGACGUGACUAUUUGCGCUUUUUUUUAGUACAUACAUAUAUGGUAUGUUGAUUUGAUAUAGUGAUGGACACAUGCUUUGACCAUGAAUAUUUAAAUCAGUUGUACUUGCAUGAAGCAAAACAUAAUAUAAGUUUAGGAGUACACUUAUAACUGUGUCCAAUCAUGCUCACACAAAUUCAUACCACAUUAUAAUUUUUUGGUAAAUAUUCCACACAUGUAUUUUUUACAAGAACCCAAAUAUUGCAGACAAAUGCAGCAUUGUAGACAUGUAGAAUUAUUCGAAGCACGUGAACUUAACAACACCAAGGUCAUUAAGUCAACUGGACCCUAUGAGUAACAAUUUCGAUAUUGCAAACACCAAAUUAUAGAACUUAUUGGCUGAAAAUUUAUGAGCAAUGUGAACUUUAAAUUAUUAUACCAUAAAUAUAUCAAAUAAUUUUUUUUUGAGGAACGUAAAAAUUGCAUGGAAUGGGCUGCCCAACGUGCUAGCUCACUUCUAUGCUAGUUAGCAUUACCAAAGAUGGGAAUGUUGCUGAUGAACGCCAAACCCACUCAAAUAAUAUUUAUAGUUGGGUUGUUUAGUUGUAAAAGUGAAGACCCAAGAUAAAAGUACCAAUUGUCCAAUGACAUUCGAUUAUUUUGUUCGGGGAGCACUUGGUGCGUCAUUUGGACUCGUAUCUUAGUCCAAUAGAUUGCAUUUUCCUUCAAUGUGUAGAAUCCGACAAAGUGCAUGUUCUAAAAUUGUAAAUCUAACUAAAUUAGAAAGCUUGUUACUAAUUUGAUGGUUUAUUAGGUGUAGCUCAUAAAACUAGAACCAACAUAGCCUGCACUCACAUGUCAUAGAAAAUAGGACUAUCCAAGCACAAUUUGUGUGAGCAUCCAUGACACAAAUUAUAUAUAGUCUGAUAUAAUUAAUUCCUUCAAAAUAAAAAAGGAAAAAAUAAAGUGGUUUUUGAUACUGCAGGAUAUCUCCUUUAGCUAAUGAGGAGUACUAAAAAGUUGUUGCACUUUUGGGUGGCGAGAAUUCCUCAAUCAUAACUUUGACAUAAUUUUAAUCCAGAUCACAUAUAUAGCAUCAUAUCUUAAUUAUUAAAUUAUUAUGGUUCCAUCAUCGUAUUAUUAAUUCAAUAUGAUAUAACCAUCAAAUCUUAAUUAUUAAAUUAAUCUGGAGCGUACAUUAGAUUAUCAAACCAAAUCAACCCGACAUAACCAUCGAAUGUUCCGCUAUGCACCUUAAGCACAUGGUCUGGGGCUUAAUCAUCCGGAAUAACCAUCCGAUCUUCUAGUAAGCAUAGUAAGCGUAUGGUUCACGACUUCGUUAUCCGGAAUAACCAUCAGAUUUUCCAGUAUGCACUGAAAGCAAAUGAUCCGGGGUUUUGGUAGGUGAAACAUUGUUAGGUGAAUGCGGAUGCUGGCUGCUGUUGCACGUGUGAACUGCUGUGUGGAAGCUGCUGGGUCCUCCUCUAUUGUGUGUGGUUUGUGGCGGGCUUCGAAUGCUCUCAUGGCUUCGGUGCUUGGAACUGCUCGUACGUCCGGUCCUGCGUGCAUCUCUCUCUCCUGGCUGGAGGCGUGGUGGUGUGGCGGCUUGUCUGUGUUUUUCUUUUUACGGCGGCUUCUCGUGUUGGCUAGUGUUGGCGUCAGGGGCCCGGUCAGCUAUGCUCCCUCAGUUUUAUAGGCAGUGCACCACAGCAGGCAGAGCAGAGAUAAAGAUUCCAACUGCAUCCAUCUACAAACAAGGCUCUCGGCAGAAGGGAUAAAAGCAUGGAGCGCAAUUGUCGCUGCCCUGCUGCAGCCUUGACUCUCGUCAAUUGGAUGACCAAAAGAUGCCACCGUCUAAGCUCUUUUCUAUGUGCAGCUGCCUGUUUGUCACCAACACAAAAUAGUAGGUGCCUGUUUGACACCAAUUAUCCUCUACCACAAAGAACUACAAUAGUGAUGGAGGAUCCGAUCCGGCACAGAUCCACUAUAAUGCAUAUUGGGUGAUGCAUGCCUAAUGGUGGUUGUUUAGUGUUAGUUUGGGCAUGUUGGAACUAAGCAAUUGACGAUGCCAUACACUAGAAGUGAAGAAUGUUGUUAGCGUUAGGAGUUGAGGUGUCAAUGGGGACCAAUACCCGUUAAGCCAUGGAGAAUUUCUCUAUUAGAUUUAGGGUAUGGGAAAAAUUUUAUUUCCAUUUGCUGAUGUUAGGUAUACAUCUAUUUGAAUCAACAGUUACAGUUCAACAGAAACUCCUUCCGCUCUAGUUUGUUUCAUGUCCUAACUUUUUCCUAAACUAGUUUUUCCUAAAUUGACAUACUCUCUACAAAAUCUAUCCAAAUUUUGAAGAUCAAAUCUGUUCCAUUGAAUUAUUCAUGACAUAUAUCUUGGUAUUGCUUUUUGUCAUCAGAAUAUAUUUCGAACUCAGUAAAAGUUAUACACGAUUUUUUAGACAAUACUAAAGCAAGUUGUAAUCAAGAACACUUGAGGUGUGCGCCAAUUGCCACAUUUAGAUAUAAUCAUUCUAAUUUUGGUCAUCCUAUGUGUGUGCAUUCAUCUAUGCAUUCUAGGAUUUCAAUUAGUCUCAAUCUUGUAGUAUUUUUUCCUUCAUUGUCAAAUCACUUCUCAUCUAACUACUAUGCUUGUUUAACCAUUAGAACAUAAGUACAACAAUAUCCAUUUAGAAAGUUUUUGAUAGCAAACUUUACAUAUUCAUAUCAUGUUAAGGUUGUCACAUGUGUAAAGGUGAAGCGAUCAUGCAUGUCAUUCCACAUAGAUUAAAAAAAAUCCUAUAUAAAAAUGACAAUUUUUCUUGUAGGUAGUGGAAAGUAUCUUUCCAGCAAAGACUAUAUAUAUAAUCCGAUAAAGCCGAUAACUAAAUGUCAAAAUCGAGUAGAUGCCAUAUCAUCUAUACCUUAUCUGUUGUUUGGAAAAAAGACAAAAUCCAAAAAAAUAUAUAUGAGAUCUCACUUGUAUAAAUAGCUCCCAAAUCAGUAGUUAAUCCAUCACCUAUAAUAUUUUGAGCAUUCAGAAACACACCUAGGGAAGCGCACUAGCAACGACCUAACAACAAUGGCUACCAAGAUAUUAUCCCUCCUUGCGCUUCUUGCCCUUUUUGUGAGCGCAACAAAUGUGUUCAUUAUUCCACAAUGCUCACUUGCUCCUAGUGCCAUUAUUCCAAAGUUCCUCCCACCAGUUACUUCAAUGGGCUUCGAACACCCAGCUGUGCAAGCCUACAGGCUACAACAAGCGCUUGCGGCGAGCGUCUUACAACAACCAAUUGCCCAAUUACAACAACAAUCCUUGGCACAUCUAACAAUACAAACCAUCGCAACGCAACAGCAACAACAGUUCCUACCAGCACUGAGCCACCUAGCCAUGGUGAACCCUGCCGCCUACUUGCAACAACAACUGCUUGCAUCCAACGCACUUGCUCUGGCAAACGUAGUUGCAAACCAGCAACAACAAUAGCUGCAACUAUUUCUGCCAGCGCUCAGUCAACUAGCCAUGGUGAACCCUGCCGCCUACCUACAACAGCAACAACUGCUUUCAUCUAGCCCGCUUGCUGUGGCCAAUGCACCUACAUACCUACAACAACAAUUGUUGCAACAUAUUGUACCAGCUCUGACUCAGCUAGUUGUGGCAAACCCUGCUGCCUACUUGCAACAGCUGCUUCCAUUCAACCAACUGACUGUGUCGAACUCUGCUGCGUACCUACAACAGCGACAACAGUUACUUAAUCCACUUGCAGUGGCUAACCCAUUGGUCGCUGCCUUCCUACAUGUCACACCCGGUUUUAAAAAGGCAAACCGAAUGCGAACCAUGUACGUGCCAGGAUCAGUUAUUCACGUACACAGCAGUUACAUAAUAUGGACAUCAUCACACAGUGCUCAAAAUAGUAUUAAUAAGGGAAAUAGUAGAUUACAUCAUACGUCUGAGACGUCCAUAUAGUUCUUACAAUAAAUCAAAGUGCGGAAAAGAAACGUAGAUAACGCGGCCUUCACAGGCAGCCGACUGGGGGUUGCCGCUAACCCACACCUAGAACUCGUCGUAAUCUUGGAACUCCUGGAAGUCUCCUUCCACAGCUUCAUCUUCGCCUGAGCAGUGGUUGCAAUGCUGACAACCUGGGGGGGGGGGGGUUUGGUGUGUAGAGCAAGGGUGAGUACACAUCAACAUACUCAGCAAGUAUCCUGUUUGGCUGUAGUGGACUAGCUUUAUGUGGGGAUAAGUCAAGCAGUUGCUUUUAGUUGGUCAGGUUAUUACUUACUAGUAGAAAGCCAAGUUUUAGCAUUAACCCAAGUUAUUAACCCAAUGUAUCCUUUCCAAACGGAAAGAAUACCACUUACCAGCACCAUAACCAUAACCAGAACCAUCAAUCUCAUAACCACCUGUACCACAAUGUCUCUGAUCAAGUACCACUAAUCAUUGGAGCUCCCUUGGCCGCUCAUAACCGCGAGCACGGCUGAUAUAUCAGUUUCAUAACACUCUGCAGAGGUUGUGCACUUUACCCACAAGCCGUGAUUCCCAUUCUGCCCGGAGAUCAUGACUCUCCAUUGAUCACUACCAAGGUGAUCCAGCAGGGCAUCACUACGAAGCCUUUACAAAGAUUCCCCGGGACUGCAGCCACCCGUUAGGUUUCCUAAAUGCACCGCACUCCUCCCCAAGGGGCGAACCCAAACUUGGCAGAGCGAGCCGCAUACACCGAGCCCCAUUGACGGCACGACGGCUAAGUGAACUACACCCCGGAUCCUCUAAUUAUUCAGCUAAGGGCACCCCAUUCCACCCUCAUGGUUGCACUGUUUUCCCGGGCGGUCAUCCAUAGAACAGGUCCUUACGGAGAGGCACUCGAGAAACCGCUCGAGUCCCCUUGAAAACCACAAGUAUAAUCAUAAAGAAGAACGGGAAAACAGCGUAUCAUAGAUAAUCACAUCAUGUUCAUUGAUUAGAGUUGAGCAAUAGCAUCAGACUAAGUAGUAAUAAUCCGACCCAAAUAGGUAAACAAGGACAUGGAUAACAAAAGCUAGUCAAUCCUUAGGUAUAAAUGUGUAAUGCGGGAGGUGAAUUAAAGAAUGAAUAGGACAUAGAUAGGUCAAAGGACACUUGCCUCCACCAAACGACUGCUGCUCAGGGGCUUCUCCUGCGAAUUCCUCGGGCUCUUCGACUGGAUCGUUCUCUAUGCGAGCGCAAACAUACAUACAUACAUCCACAUAUUUAAUACAAAAGAACAGUACACCAUACAAGAUAACAAAUAAAGCGAAUAUGCAUCAAGUAUGACAUUCGAUAACGCAUUUGUUAUGGUCAGAAAGAAACGGGAAAGGUCUCGCAGGGGGGGUUAAAUCUUAUGCACUAACGAUCAAUUACAAUUGGUUUUUAACAAAAUAAUUCUGCUACAUAUACACUAAUGGAAACCUAAUCACUUUUAGUUGAUCAACAUUGCACAGGGUAAACAAUUAACUACGUGCGUCAAUAGCAUAACGGAAUUUUAAAUUAAACUUCCUAUUUUCCCAUAGCAUGAACAGUGAUUAGCCUACUUAAAAUACAGUAAUUAUGAUCACAGAAAGUAAAUAAAAUAAAAUAAAAAAAAAUAAAAAAAAAAACAGAGGGGGGGGCGGUUGAACCGGCCCUAGGGCGGUUGAACCGGCCCUAGGCGGGGCGCGGGCGCGGGCGGCGCAGGGGGCGGCCGAACCGGGGGGCGGGGGGCGGCGCAGGGGGCGGCCGAGCCGGGGGGCGGGGCGGCCGAACCGGCGGGGCAGGGGGGCGGGUAGGGGGCGGCCGAGCCGGGGGGCGGGGCGGCCGAACCGGCGGGCAGGGAGGCGGCCGAACCGGCCAUGGGGAGAGGGGAUGGGGGAGGGAGGAGAGGGGGAGGGGGAAGCUCACCGGCGACGGGGACGGGGCGGCCGAGCGGGGCGGCCGAACGGCGACGGGGAGGGGCGGCGGCCUAGGCAGGGGCGGCGGCUAGGGCAGGGGGCGGGUAGGGGGCGGCGGCUUGGGUGGGGAGGGAGAAAAUGAGGGGGGAGAGGGAGAGGGUUAGGGGAUAAGGGAAAGAGGGGGGGGGCGGCUGGGCCUACUAGGCCCAAGAGGGGGGCGCCAGGGGGCGGCUGGGCCGGCCGGGGUCGGCCCACGGCGCGGGAGAGAGAGAAAAAAAAGGAGAGAGAAAGAGAGAGAGAAAAGAGAAAGAAAAGAGAAAGAAAACAUUUUCGAAAUCCGAUCUUUCUACAUGAAUGCAUUUGCACUUUCAAAGCAAUCAAAAGAAAUGCAAGGUUCGGCAUGGUGCAUCAAACAACAUAAAGUAUUUAGGGUUUUUAUACAUACGGGAAUUCCAAACCGAAUCCCGCUAGAACUUUGGAAAAGGUCAAGGUUUAGCGAGGGAAAAAGAAAAAGAAAAGGUAACGCCCGAAUUUUGGCGAGUAAAGAAAAGAAAAAAAAUUCAACUGCAAAAAUUCGGGGCGUUACAAACCUAUCCCCCUUAAAAGAAUCUCGCCCUCGAGAUUCAGGGCUGGCUAGCAAAGAGCUCCGGGUACUUGGCCUUCAGAUCAUCUUCACGCUCCCAGGUUGCUUCUUCCUCAGAGUGGUGACUCCAUCUGACUUUGCACAUUCUGACGGUCUUCCUUCGGGUGACUCUGUCUGCAAUCUCAAGGAUCUGAGCUGGCUUCUCAACGUAGGUCAAGUCCUCCUGGACUUCCAGACCUUCCACUGGCAACUGCUCUUCCGGCACACGCAAGCACUUCUUCAACUGAGACACAUGAAAGACAUCAUGCACAGCAGACAAAUUCUCUGGCAGACUGAGCUGAUAGGCCACUUCUCCACGUCUUGCAAGAAUCUGAUACGGACCAAUGUAGCGGGGUGCUAGCUUGCCUUUCACUCCGAAUCUUCUGACUCCUCUGAUCGGUGACACUUUCAGAUAGACAAAGUCUCCGACUUCGAAACUCAGCUCUCUUCUUCUUGUGUCUGCAUAGCUUCGCUGCCUUGAUUGCGCUAUCUUCAGAUUCUCUCGGACCAUCUUGACGUUCUCUUCGGCUUCGAGCAAAAUGUCUGGCCCAAACACUUGCUUUUCCCCAGGCUGAUCCCAUUGCAACGGAGUUCUGCAACUCCUUCCAUACAGCGCUUGAAAUGGUGACAUCUUCAAACUGGCCUGGUAACUGUUGUUAUAGGAAAACUCCGCAUAAGGCAAUCGCUUGUCCCAUCCGGACUGAUCUUGCAACGCACAUGCUCUCAACAUAUCUUCAAGAAUUUGAUUGGUUCUUUCGGUCUGGCCAUCUGUCUGCGGGUGGUAAGCUGAACUGAAAUUCAGAUGCGUGCCCAAGGCUUCAUGCAACUGCUGCCAGAAAUGAGAGGUGAACUGCGUUCCUCUGUCUGACACUAUCUUCUUUGGCACACCAUGAAGACAAACGAUCCGAGACAUAUACAAUUCUGCCAAUACUGCACUGUUGUAGUUGGUCUUGACAGGUAUGAAGUGGGCUGACUUGGUCAAGCGGUCCACUACUACCCAAAUGGAAUCGUAGCCGGCUCGAGUGCGAGGCAAUCCGACUAUGAAAUCCAUACCAAUUUCAUCCCAUUUCCACUGAGGGAUCUGCAACGGUUGCAACAAUCCAGCUGGUCUCUGGUGUUCUGCCUUAAUUCUUCGACAACUAUCGCACAUAGCCACAUGCUCUGCGAUUUCCCUUUUCAUUCCGUACCACCAGAAUUUCUUCUUCAGAUCCUGAUACAUCUUCUCACUGCCAGGGUGAAUCGAAUAGGCUGUCUCAUGAGCUUCCUUGAGAAUCAACUCCCGAAUAGACUGGACAUUGGGAACACACAAGCGGUCUUUGAACCAUACCACACCUUCUGCAUCUUCUCGAAAGUCUUUGCCUCUGCCAUCUAGAAUCAAUCGCCGAAUCUCACUGAUCUUCUCAUCAUUUUUCUGCGCUUCUUUGAUUUCGCGCUCCAAGGUAGGUUCCAAUUCAACUGUGACUCCUCGAGAAUUGUUUAGAAAUCCGAGACUCAACCUGUCAAACUCCUUGGCCAACUCAUAAGGCAUCGGACGAGCGACCAUCAGAUUGACUUGACUCUUUCUGCUCAAAGCAUCUGCCACUACGUUUGCUUUGCCUGGAUGGUAAUGAAUCUCCAACUCAUAGUCUUUGAUCAAUUCUAACCAUCUUCGUUGCCUCAUGUUCAAUUCUGAUUGAGUGAAUAUGUACUUCAGACUCUUGUGGUCUGUGUAAACAUCGCAUUUCUGUCCAUACAGAUAGUGCCUCCAUGUCUUCAGUGCGUGAACCACUGCUGCCAACUCUAGAUCAUGGAUGGGGUAGUUCUUCUCAUGAACCUUCAGCUGUCGGGACGAGUAAGCCACAACUCUUCCCUCUUGCAUCAACACACAUCCCAAACCUGUGUAACAAGCAUCACAAUACACCGAGAAGGGCUUGUGCACAUCAGGCAAGACUAGGACAGGCGCUGUUGUCAACUUCUCUUUCAGCGCUUCAAAGGCCUCUUGGCAUUUCUGGGUCCACUUGAACUCAACCUUGUUGCCUAGCAACGCUGUCAUUGGCUUCGCAAUCUUCGAAAACCCUUUAAUGAAUCGCCGAUAAUAUCCGGCCAUUCCAAUGAAGCUCUUGAUUCCUCUAGCAUCUGUUGGUGCUUUCCAGUUCAGAAUGUCUGCCACUUUCUUCGGAUCCACAGUCAAUCCUUCUUUGUUGAUUAUGUGACCCAAGAACAGGACUUCACUGAUCCAGAACUCACACUUGCUCAACUUUGCAUACAACUGGUGCUCUCGCAAUCUCUGCAACACCAUCCUCAAAUGAUCUGCAUGCUCUUCUUCACUUUGAGAAUAAACCAGAAUGUCAUCAAUGAAUACCACCACGAACUUAUCAAGAUAAUCCAUGAAUACACUGUUCAUCAAGUUCAUAAAGAAUGCUGGCGCAUUGGUCAAACCAAAAGACAUCACUGUGAACUCAUAUAAACCAUACUUGGUAAUGAAUGCCGUCUUCGGAAUGUCCGAAGGUCGGAUCCUGAGCUGAUGAUAACCUGACCUCAGAUCGAUCUUGGAGAACACACUGGCUCCUCUCAACUGGUCGAACAGAUCUUCUAUUCUGGGCAAAGGAUACUUGUUCUUGAUCGUGACCUCAUUCAAAGCUCGAUAGUCGAUACACAUCCUCUUGGUACCAUCUUUCUUCUCCACAAACAAGACAGGGGCGGCCCAAGGCGAGGUGCUUGGCCGGAUGUAACCUUUUUCUGACAGCUCAUCAAUCUGCUUCUUAAGCUCAUCCAACUCUGGUCCAGAUAUUCUGUAAGCUCUCUUGAAGAUAGGGGCGGUUCCAGGAAGAAGCUCUAUGGCAAAUUCAACUUUCCGCUCUGGUGGCAUACCCGGUAAAUCCUUUGGAAACACAUCUGGGAAUUCGGACACAACCUUGAUACUCUCAAUCGGGUCUGCUUCACUGCUAUCGACAGUCAUCUGAUAACAACUUCCUUUCUUUGGCUCAGGCGGGACUAACUCAGUCACCACUUCCUCUCCUAGUGGGGACACUAACUUGAUUGUCCUUUUAUCACAACUGAUAACUGCCUGAUACUUAUCUAGCCAAUUCAUCCCUAGGAUGACAUCUAUUCCCUGAGUACCCAUUACUAUAAGGUUGGCGGGAAACGCUAUCCCCCUUAUUUUCACACUUAUAUUCAAACAAAUGCUAUCGGCUCGAAUUCUACCACCGGCUGAAUCAAUUUGAAUGGGGGUUGACAUGGUAGUUAUUGGAAGUUUAUGUGCUUCUACCCAUGAUGCAGUAAUGAAAGAAUGUGUUGCUCCAGUAUCAAAUAACACUUCUGCAAUAUGGGAGUCGACUGGGAACAUACCUACUGUCAUGCCGGGGGUCUCCUGAACUGCUUCAGCUUCCAAGUGGUUCAAUCUUCCAUGAUUAUAGCGCUGCUGAGAGCGAUUGCCUGCUCCAGGCUGAGACACAUUCUGCUUUGCUGGGGCAUUGGGGCCUGACUGCUGCUGGGCUGCCUUCUUUGGACAUUGCAUCACCCAAUGGCCUUGCUCUCCACAGUGGAAACAUGCCCUGUUUCCAACCUGAGCUGGUGCUGCCUGACUGUUCUGCUGAUUUGCUGGGGCAGGAAGACGAGGUGCUUGCUGAUUCUGCCUUUGAAACUGACCUCCUGACUGAUUGCUCUGACGGUUCUGGUACUGAUUCUGAGGGUACUGCCUUUGGAACUGCUGAUACUGCUGACGCUGCUGAUGCUGCUGAGGUGGACGCUGGUUCUGCCUGAACUGCUGAGGUUGAUUGCCUGAAAAGCGAGGGCGACUGCUGCUUCCAGACUGCGGUCCACUGAUCUUGCGCUUACGAUCUUCCAUCUCCUUGCGCUUCCUUUCUGUCAUGAUUGCUCUGUCAAUCAGGUGCUGGAAUGUCGGGAAGGUGUGAUUCAUCAGCUGAUACUGCAGAGGGUCAACCAAGCCUCUCAGGAAACGGUACUGUCGCUUGGCGUCGGUGUUGACAUCUUCAGGAGCAUAGCGAGACAAUUGCAGAAACUUGUCCCGGUACUCACUGACAGACAAUGGCCCUUGCUUAAGGGCCAGGAACUCCUCCUUCUUCACUGUCAUCAGACCUGCAGGCACAUGGUACUGACGAAAGCUACCCCUGAAUUCUUCCCAGGUGAUGGUGUCGGGGUUGGCAUGGGUGGCGAGGUAAGACUCCCACCAUGACUGGGCUGCUCCUCUCAACAGACGGGGACCAUACAGAACUUUCUCCCUGUCAUCGCACUGAGCGGUAUGCAACUCCCGCUCCACAGUGCGCAGCCAAUCUUCAGCAUCCAUGGGGUCAGAAGAGUGAGCGAACGUUGGUGGAUGACCUCUCAUGAAUUCAGCACGCUUAUCUCUAGGCAUCUGAGGCAUCUGAGGCUGGGGUGGUGCUUGCUGCUGUUGCUGCUGCUGCUGCUGCUGAAUGGCGGCCAAAGUCUGACCGAUGGCUUGAACUGCCUGAGUCUGCAUCAGAAACAUCUGCUCAAUCGACAUCGGGGGCGGGGGCGGCAGGUGCUGCUGCUGGGGCACCUCAUCCUGCGGAGCGGCUCGCUCCUGCUGAGCACGCCUUCCUCCUCUACGCCUGUUCUCUGACAUCUGCAGAACGCAACCACACAUCAGAACUGAUCUGGCAAAUCUUGCAGCAUAAGGAAAGAGAAUAGAAUUCUUCAACAGCACUGGGCAGGUGAGCAUCUUCACUGAUCUCCAACACAGACCACACAUCUUCUCAGAUAAAGAGGAAAGGAGAAUAAUGGGUUUCCCAACUAUAUAACUAACUUUAUUGACAUAGUAUGUAAACCAAAAUGCAGGGGAUACCCACACUCUGGUGACAAUCAUUACAAAGAUCCAAACCAAACAUAGUUCAUCAUGACAAGCAUAAAUGCACAGGAUAUAGCAAACUACCCUGUCUAACUAAAACUAACUAAGACCGAGACUAACGCUAAGACUGAAGCUUCUAUGUAUAUAUUUAUUUCGUAUUAAUUACAAGAUCCAGCUCUAACGAUCUAUGGUUCUAGAGUUAUCUUGGUCUUGCAGGCGGGAUUGCCAUAAGACUGGUGUCCACGCUGAGGUGAGCGGUACGGGUGCUGAGUCCCAACGGGAGCGGGGGAACCACCAUCCAGAAAACGACGUUCCGCGCGCUCAGCCCGCAGCAGGGCGAUCUCAGCACGAGCCCUACUCAGCUCGUCUAAUGCAUGGUCCAGCUCCGUGUUUAGCACGGCGGCUAGGUUGACUGUGCUGCUCAACCUAGGAUUGCCCUCACCGACAGGUGAGACAAUCACGCCUCCUGUGCUGCCAGAUGAACGGCGGGGGUAAUACUUCAGGUCAAGACCGUCAGCUGCCCCACCGAAAACCGAGCAGUAGUGCGAAAGCGCACGCCGUGCAGCAUCUUGCAUGGCUGCCUCAGCUGAGUCCCGCUCAGAGAUAGAAUAGUACUCUGAACAGGCCUCUGCACCCUGGAGACUGUCCUCCGGGCAGCGCACCAAGCAAGUCGCCUCCCAGCGGUCCGGGUAGACCCCGCGACUAUGCUGGUAGACCACACAGCGAUACUCGACGGACCAAGUAUGCCGGUCAAAUGCCCGACGUAGCAGGGUGUCGAGCGCAUCAUGGAAGUGACACCCGCGAGCAGCGUCGCGAGUGAUGGGUCGAGCAACCCAUCCUUCCGGCUCAGGAUUAGCAGAGAAGUCGGUGUCGUGGCUCGAGCUGUCGUCGCCAUCUCCGUCGUCUGGGUCUCCUCCAGCAGCUACUCCAGAAGCUGGGGCGCCCAGUGGUGGUGCAGGGGGCGGCUCCAGAGAAAGCACAGGGGAGCAGCUCCUCACAGACUCUAUCUCCUGGUGGAGCGAGAGGGAAGAGCUCCGCUGCUCCUGUCGUCGACGCUCCUGCUCCUCACGCAGGCGGUGGUGUAGUCUCUCCAAGUGGCUGGACUGUCCGGCCACGGGACGGCGAAGCGGACGCUCAGCAAGGCGGGAGGGUAAGAAGGGGAUGACUGACUUUCGUGCAGUGUGUCUAAGUCGAGCCAUCUACAAAAGACAUCGCAAGCAAAAGGGUGAGAACAGAAUUAAUAUGACCAGCAAGUAAUAAGUAAAUGAAGGAUCAGAAUAAAACAUAAUUUUCAGCAAGGUAUAAUAUGUAGUAGAACAUAGGUUUGGUCAGUAGGACCAACUUUUGAAGGGAUAUCAAAGUCAAGGAAGAGACAGAGGUCUAUAGUCCUUAGAACGACCAUUCUACUCUAGGUUAGCGGUCCUACAGUCAGCACGGCUCUGAUACCACUUAUGUCACACCCGGUUUUAAAAAGGCAAACCGAAUGCGAACCAUGUACGUGCCAGGAUCAGUUAUUCACGUACACAGCAGUUACAUAAUAUGGACAUCAUCACACAGUGCUCAAAAUAGUAUUAAUAAGGGAAAUAGUAGAUUACAUCAUACGUCUGAGACGUCCAUAUAGUUCUUACAAUAAAUCAAAGUGCGGAAAAGAAACGUAGAUAACGCGGCCUUCACAGGCAGCCGACUGGGGGUUGCCGCUAACCCACACCUAGAACUCGUCGUAAUCUUGGAACUCCUGGAAGUCUCCUUCCACAGCUUCAUCUUCGCCUGAGCAGUGGUUGCAAUGCUGACAACCUGGGGGGGGGGUUUGGUGUGUAGAGCAAGGGUGAGUACACAUCAACAUACUCAGCAAGUAUCCUGUUUGGCUGUAGUGGACUAGCUUUAUGUGGGGAUAAGUCAAGCAGUUGCUUUUAGUUGGUCAGGUUAUUACUUACUAGUAGAAAGCCAAGUUUUAGCAUUAACCCAAGUUAUUAACCCAAUGUAUCCUUUCCAAACGGAAAGAAUACCACUUACCAGCACCAUAACCAUAACCAGAACCAUCAAUCUCAUAACCACCUGUACCACAAUGUCUCUGAUCAAGUACCACUAAUCAUUGGAGCUCCCUUGGCCGCUCAUAACCGCGAGCACGGCUGAUAUAUCAGUUUCAUAACACUCUGCAGAGGUUGUGCACUUUACCCACAAGCCGUGAUUCCCAUUCUGCCCGGAGAUCAUGACUCUCCAUUGAUCACUACCAAGGUGAUCCAGCAGGGCAUCACUACGAAGCCUUUACAAAGAUUCCCCGGGACUGCAGCCACCCGUUAGGUUUCCUAAAUGCACCGCACUCCUCCCCAAGGGGCGAACCCAAACUUGGCAGAGCGAGCCGCAUACACCGAGCCCCAUUGACGGCACGACGGCUAAGUGAACUACACCCCGGAUCCUCUAAUUAUUCAGCUAAGGGCACCCCAUUCCACCCUCAUGGUUGCACUGUUUUCCCGGGCGGUCAUCCAUAGAACAGGUCCUUACGGAGAGGCACUCGAGAAACCGCUCGAGUCCCCUUGAAAACCACAAGUAUAAUCAUAAAGAAGAACGGGAAAACAGCGUAUCAUAGAUAAUCACAUCAUGUUCAUUGAUUAGAGUUGAGCAAUAGCAUCAGACUAAGUAGUAAUAAUCCGACCCAAAUAGGUAAACAAGGACAUGGAUAACAAAAGCUAGUCAAUCCUUAGGUAUAAAUGUGUAAUGCGGGAGGUGAAUUAAAGAAUGAAUAGGACAUAGAUAGGUCAAAGGACACUUGCCUCCACCAAACGACUGCUGCUCAGGGGCUUCUCCUGCGAAUUCCUCGGGCUCUUCGACUGGAUCGUUCUCUAUGCGAGCGCAAACAUACAUACAUACAUCCACAUAUUUAAUACAAAAGAACAGUACACCAUACAAGAUAACAAAUAAAGCGAAUAUGCAUCAAGUAUGACAUUCGAUAACGCAUUUGUUAUGGUCAGAAAGAAACGGGAAAGGUCUCGCAGGGGGGGUUAAAUCUUAUGCACUAACGAUCAAUUACAAUUGGUUUUUAACAAAAUAAUUCUGCUACAUAUACACUAAUGGAAACCUAAUCACUUUUAGUUGAUCAACAUUGCACAGGGUAAACAAUUAACUACGUGCGUCAAUAGCAUAACAGAAUUUUAAAUUAAACUUCCUAUUUUCCCAUAGCAUGAACAGUGAUUAGCCUACUUAAAAUACAGUAAUUAUGAUCACAGAAAGUAAAUAAAAUAAAAUAAAAAAAAAUAAAAAAAAAACAGAGGGGGGGGCGGUUGAACCGGCCCUAGGGCGGUUGAACCGGCCCUAGGCGGGGCGCGGGCGCGGGCGGCGCAGGGGGCGGCCGAACCGGGGGCGGGGGCGGCGCAGGGGGCGGCCGAGCCGGGGGGCGGGGCGGCCGAACCGGCGGGGCAGGGGGGCGGGUAGGGGGCGGCCGAGCCGGGGGGCGGGGCGGCCGAACCGGCGGGCAGGGAGGCGGCCGAACCGGCCAUGGGGAGAGGGGAUGGGGGAGGGAGGAGAGGGGGAGGGGGAAGCUCACCGGCGACGGGGACGGGGCGGCCGAGCGGGGCGGCCGAACGGCGACGGGGAGGGGCGGCGGCCUAGGCAGGGGCGGCGGCUAGGGCAGGGGGCGGGUAGGGGGCGGCGGCUUGGGUGGGGAGGGAGAAAAUGAGGGGGGAGAGGGAGAGGGUUAGGGGAUAAGGGAAAGAGGGGGGGGGCGGCUGGGCCUACUAGGCCCAAGAGGGGGGCGCCAGGGGGCGGCUGGGCCGGCCGGGGUCGGCCCACGGCGCGGGAGAGAGAGAAAAAAAAGGAGAGAGAAAGAGAGAGAGAAAAGAGAAAGAAAAGAGAAAGAAAACAUUUUCGAAAUCCGAUCUUUCUACAUGAAUGCAUUUGCACUUUCAAAGCAAUCAAAAGAAAUGCAAGGUUCGGCAUGGUGCAUCAAACAACAUAAAGUAUUUAGGGUUUUUAUACAUACGGGAAUUCCAAACCGAAUCCCGCUAGAACUUUGGAAAAGGUCAAGGUUUAGCGAGGGAAAAAGAAAAAGAAAAGGUAACGCCCGAAUUUUGGCGAGUAAAGAAAAGAAAAAAAAUUCAACUGCAAAAAUUCGGGGCGUUACACUACAGCAGCAACAAUUGUUGCCAUACAACCAGUUCUCUUUGAUGAACCCUGUCUUGUCGAGGCAGCAACCCAUCGUUGGAGGUGCCAUCUUUUAGAUAACAUAUGAGAUGUACUCGAUAAUGGUGCCCUCAUACCGGCAUGUGUUUCCUAGAAAUAACCAAUAUAUUGAUUGAGAUUUAUCUCGAUAUAUUUCUGAACUAUGUCCAUCAUAUAAAUAAUUGAAAACAUCAAAUCGUAAUUAUAAACUCAUGCUUGGCCAAUACAUAGACAAUGCGAUAUUACUUCAACAUCCCAAUGAUGUCCUAGCCCAACCUCUUGAAUGUUAGUGUUUUAAUGUGUGAGGGUAUAUUUAUAAGAUAGACGUGACUAUUUGCGCUUUUUCAGUACAUACACAUAUGGUAUGUUGAUUUGAUAUAGUGAUGGACACAUGCUUUGACCAUGAAUAUUCAAAUCAGUUGUACUUGCACGAAGCAAAACAUAAUAUAAGUUUAGGAGUACACUUAUAACUGUAUCCAAUCAUGCUCACACAAAUUCAUACCACAUUAUAAUUUUUUGGUAAAUAUUCCACACAUGUACUUUUUACAAGAACCCAAAUUUUGCAAACAAAUGUAGCAUUGUAGACAUGUAGAAUUCUUUGAAGCACGUGAACUUAACAACAUCAAGGUCAUUAAAUCAACUAGACCCUAUGAGUAACAAUUUCGAUAUUGCAAACACCAAAUUAUAGAACUUAUUGGCUGAAAAAUUAUGAGCAAUGUGAACUUUAAAUUAUUAUACCAUAAAUAUAUCAAAGAAUUUUUUUAGGAACGUAAAAAUUGCAUGGAAUGGGCUGCCCAACGUGCUAGCUCACUUCUAUGCUAGGCAGCAUUACCAAAGAUGGGAAUGUUGCUGAUGAACGCCAAACCCACUCAAAUAAUAUUUAUAUUUGGGUUGUUUAGUUGUAAAAGUGAAGACCCAAGAUAAAAGUACCAAUUGUCCAAUGACAUUCGAUUAUUUUGUUCGGGGAGCACUUGGUGCGUCAUUUGUACUCGUAUCUUAGUCCAAUAGAUUGUAUUUUCCUUCAAUGUGUAGAAUCCGACAAAGUGCAUGUUCUAAAAUUGUAAAUCUAACUAAAUUAGAAAGCUUGUUACUAAUUUGAUGGUUUAUUAGGUGUAGCUCAUAAAACUAGAACCAACAUAGCCUGCACUCACAUGUCAUAGAAAAUAGGAGUAUCCAAGCACAAUUUGUGUGAGCAUCCAUGACACAAAUUAUAUAUAGAGUGAUAUAAUUAAUUCCUUCAAAAUAAAAAAAGGAAAAAAUAAAGUGUUUUUUGAUACUGCAGGAUAUCUCUUUUAGCUAAUGAGGAGUACUAAAAAGUUGUUGCACUUUUGGGUGGCGAGAAUUCCUCAAUCAUAACUUUGACAUAAUUUUAAUCCAGAUCACAUAUAUAGCAUCAUAUCUUAAUUAUUAAAUUAAUAUGGUUCCAUCAUCGUAUUAUUAAUUCAAUCUGAUAUAACCAUCAAAUCUUAAUUAUUAAAUUAAUCUGGAGCAUACAUUAGAUUAUCAAACCAAAUCAACCCGACAUAACCAUCGAAUGUUUCGCUAUGCGCCUUAAGCGCAUGGUCUCAGGCUUAAUCAUCCGGAAUAACCAUUCGAUCUUCUGGUAAGCAUAGUAAGCGUAUGGUUCAUGGCUUCGUCAUCCGGAAUAACCAUCAUAUUUUCCGGUAUGCACUGAAAGCAAAUGAUCCGGGGUUUUGGUAGGUGAAACGUUGUUAGGUGAAUGCGGAUCCUGGCUGCUGUUGCACGUGUGAACUGCUGUGUGGAAGCUGCUGGGUCCUCCUCUAUUUUGCGUGGUUUGUGGCAGGCUUGGAAUUCUCUCAUGGCUUCGGUGCUUGGAACUGCUCGUACGUCCGGUCCUGCGUGCAUCUCUCUCUCUCUCCUGGCUGGAGGUGUGGUGGUCUGGCGGCUUGUCUGUGUUUUUCUUUUUACGACGGCUUCUCGUGUUGGCUAGGGUUGGCGUCAGGGGCCCGGUCAGCUAUGCUCCCUCUGCUUUUAUAGGCAGUGCACCACAGCAGGCAGAGCAGAGAUAAAGAUUCCAACUGCAUCCAUCUACAAACAAGGCUCUCGGUGGAAGGGAUAAAAGCAUGCAUCGCAAUUGCCGCUGCCCUGCUUUAGCCUUGAGUCUCGUCAAUUGGAUGACCAAAAGAUGUCACCGUCUAAGCUCUUUUCUUUGUGCAGCUGCCUGUUUGUCACCAACACAAAAUUGUAGGUGCAUGUUUGACACCAAUUAUCCUCUACCACAAAGAACUACAAUAGUGAUGGAGGAUCUGAUCCGGCACUGAUCCACUAUAAUGCAUAGUGGGUGAUGCAUGUCUAAUGGUGGUUGUUUAGUGUUAGUUUGGGCAUGUUGGAACUAAGCAAUUGUCGAUGCCAUACACUAGAUGUGAAGAAUGUUGUUAGCGUUAGGAGUAGAGGUGUCAAUGGGGACCGAUACCCGUUAAGCCAUGGAGAAUUUCUCUAUUAGAUUUAGGGUAUGGGAAAUUUUUUAUUUCCAUUUGCUGAAGUUAGGUAUACAUCUAUUUGAAUCAAUAGUUACAGUUCAACAGAAACUCCUUCCGCUCUAGUUUGUUUCAUGUCCUACCUUUUUCCUAAACUAGUGUUUCCUAAAUUGACAUACUCUCUAGAAAAUCUAUCCAAAUUUUGAAGAUCAAAUAUGUUCCAUUGAAUUAUUCAUGACAUAUAUCUUGGUAUUGCUUUUUGUCAUCAGAAUAUAUUUUGAACUCAGUAAAAGUUAUACACGAUUUUUUUAGACAAUACUAAAGCAAGUUGUAUCAAGAACACUGGAGGUGUGCGCCAAUUGCCACAUUUAGAUAUAAUCAUUCUAAUUUUGGUCAUCCUAUGUGUGUGCAUUCAUCUAUGCAUUCUAGGAUUUCAAUUAGUCUCAAUCUUGUAGUAUUUGUUCCUUCAUUGUCAAAUCACUUCUCAUCUAACUACUAUGCUUGUUUAACCAUCAGAACAUAACUACAACAAUAUCCAUUUAUAAAGGUUUUGAUAGCAAACUUUACAUAUUCAUAUCAUGUUAAGGUUGUCACAUGUGUAAAGGUGAAGAGAUCAUGCAUGUCAUUCCACGUAGAUGAAAAGAAUUCCUAUAUAAAAUGACACCUUUUCUUGUAGGUAGUGGAAAGUAUCUUUCCAGCAAAGACCAUAUAAUCCGAUAAAGUUGAUAACUAAAUGUCAAAAUAGAGUAGAUGCCAUAUCAUAUAUACCUUAUCUGUUGUUUGGAAAAAAAAGACUAAAUCCCAAAAAUAUAUAUGAGAUCUCACUUGUAUAAAUAGCUCCCAAAUUAGUAGUUAACCAUCACCCAUAAUAUUUUGAACAUUCAGAAACACACCUAGCGAAGCGCACUAGCAACGACCUAACAACAAUGGCUACCAAGAUAUUAUCCCUCCUUGCGCUUCUUGCCCUUUUUGUGAGCGCAACAAAUGCGUUCAUUAUUCCACAAUAUUAGUUAUACUCUUAAUGUCACGAUGUAUAUGUUUGAUUAAAUUGUUUAAUAGAUAUAAUCAAAGAUAAAUAACUUGCAUGGCUCCGUAGGAUAUUAUGUGUAUCUUGUUCAUGAUCACUAAUGGUCCUCAUAGGCACCAUUUGAUUUGCUGCUCCCAUUGUCUCAAUUUCCAUUGUAUUGUCAUCGUUGACCCCCGACGCUCGAAAUUCUGCAGGUGGUGUUACAAUAUGUCUCCGUGGACUCGUAGCACAGUUUGGAGAUUUAAGUCUUAGGGUGAGCGCUGUUGGUAGACCACUGUAUGUGUCUGCACGACGGCCACCAUAUUUGACUUUUUAUUUUAUAAACCGAUGUAUUUAUACAAAUAUUAAUGUACCUGAUGCAGCUCUGUGCAUGAUGCAGAAGAAACAUCACCAGUUUCUUCUUCUCCACCGUCAACCAUGGGUCAACAAUGCAGCGACGCCGCCAGUUCCCUUUCUUAUAUGCACCGCUCUGUCUAGUCUCGGGUAGCCAUGUUUACGCUAUUUUUUGUGGUCAUUUACGGUCUAUAAAGUUUGUUCCUGCAUGCAUGGAGAUAUUAUCGGAGACGUGACAACUACCCGAUAGAUUUUAUCUCGGUUUGUUGAAACAAUUUUGUAUUUACUCAACUAAAUGAAACCAGUUACGCAAUUUUCUGUAUAUAUUUAUGCCUGAGUUUCUGCUUACGUGCAUGCCAUGCAAUAUUCUCGG
RNAcentral lists this long non-coding RNA (20728 nucleotides) under Zea mays. RNAcentral describes it as "long non-coding RNA (ZMAY_LNC002145)". The record is from RNAcentral. Lineage: Eukaryota; Viridiplantae; Streptophyta; Magnoliopsida; Poales; Poaceae.